CUCUAGCCCCGAUAGGACUGAAAAUCCUUUUGUGCCGGGGUUCGGCACAAAAGAUUGUAAGGGAUAGCGGGACUACUG
Molecule: small RNA, 78 nt
Filed under: Flavobacterium hercynium
Lineage: Bacteria; Pseudomonadati; Bacteroidota; Flavobacteriia; Flavobacteriales; Flavobacteriaceae
Description: Flavo-1 RNA
Rfam family: Flavo-1 RNA
Source: Rfam by way of RNAcentral